AGGAGGAUGCAGCAUUCAAGGUUCUAUCUUGGAAGCAGAGACUGUGCCCUCACCAGAUGCUGAACCUGCUGAGCACCCUGAUCUUCCACUUCACCUUCAUCAGAACUACUGUUUGCUGUGAUUGCACCUGCCAUCUUAUGCAGAAAUGACCUGAAGACAGAUUGAAACAACGUGUUCUACAGCCUGAAAAUAUCUACCUUGACUUACAGUUUUAUUAAUGCUGGUGUGAUCAGACUGGACAAAAAUUAGCAUAUGUUAUUAACUAAUCUAAUUCAAAUGCCAA
Molecule: long non-coding RNA, 283 nt
Filed under: Pan troglodytes (chimpanzee)
Lineage: Eukaryota; Metazoa; Chordata; Mammalia; Primates; Hominidae
Description: long non-coding RNA NONPTRT012045
Source: RNAcentral